GGGCGCUGGGCGGGUCCGCGGCGCGGUCGGUCGGCGCCUAUUCUCGGGCUCUUUGGCGGACGAAGCUUCACAAAAGAUGUCUAAGGUGAAUCAGGUCUAGGAAAAUCGACUCUCAUAAACAGCCUAUUCCUAACUGAUCUCUACCCAGAAAGAGUCAUACCUGGAGCAGCAGAAAAAAUUGAAAGAACUGUCCAGAUUGAGGCUUCAACUGUUGAAAUUGAAGAGCGAGGGGUCAAGCUACGCCUGACAGUGGUAGAUACCCCUGGCUAUGGUGACGCUAUCAACUGCAGAGAUUGUUUUAAGACAAUUAUCUCCUAUAUUGAUGAGCAAUUUGAGAGGUACCUGCAUGACGAGAGCGGCUUGAACAGGAGGCACAUCAUUGAUAAUAGGGUGCAUUGUUGCUUUUACUUUAUUUCACCUUUUGGACAUGGACUUAAGCCCUUAGAUGUGGCGUUUAUGAAGGCAAUACACAACAAGGUGAAUAUUGUGCCUGUCAUUGCAAAAGCUGACACUCUCACUCUGAAGGAACGGGAGCGGCUGAAGAAAAGGAUUCUGGAUGAAAUUGAAGAACAUAACAUCAAAAU
RNAcentral lists this small RNA (584 nucleotides) under Pongo abelii (Sumatran orangutan). Its description in RNAcentral is "processed transcript". Lineage: Eukaryota; Metazoa; Chordata; Mammalia; Primates; Hominidae. The record is from RNAcentral.